CCCUUAGAUGUUCUGGGCUGCACGCGCGCUACACUGACACACGCAGCGAGUCUCCUGCCCUGACAGGGUCGGGUAAUCAUUUGAGUGUGUGUCGUGAUGGGGAUAGAGUAUUGCAAUUAUUGCUCUUGAACGAGGAAUUCCUAGUAAGCACAAGUCAGCAGCUUGUGCUGAUUACGUCCCUGCCCUUUGUACACACCGCCCGUCGCUCCUACCGAGGGGGUGAUCCGGUGAAUGAUUCGGACUCUGGUGCUUCUAGCUGCUAGAUGCGCCGGAGGAAGUUUUGUGAACCUUAUCACUUGGAGGAAGGAGAAGUCGUAACA
Molecule: ribosomal RNA, 320 nt
Filed under: uncultured eukaryote
Lineage: Eukaryota
Description: partial 18S ribosomal RNA
Rfam family: Eukaryotic small subunit ribosomal RNA
Source: RNAcentral